Molecule: ribosomal RNA, 497 nt
Filed under: uncultured bacterium
Lineage: Bacteria
Description: partial 16S ribosomal RNA
Rfam family: Bacterial small subunit ribosomal RNA
Source: RNAcentral
GAUGAACGCUGGCGGCGUGCCUAAUACAUGCGAGUAGAACGCUGAAGCUUGGUGCUUGCACCGAGCGGAUGAGUUGCGAACGGGUGAGUAACGCGUAGGUAACCUGCCUCUUAGCGGGGGAUAACUAUUGGAGACGAUAGCUAAUACCGCAUAAAAGUCGAUAUCGCAUGAUAUUGAUUUGAAAGGUGCAAAUGCAUCACUAAGAGAUGGACCUGCGUUGUAUUAGCUAGUUGGUGAGGUAACGGCUCACCAAGGCGACGAUACAUAGCCGACCUGAGAGGGUGAUCGGCCACACUGGGACUGAGACACGGCCCAGACUCCUACGGGAGGCAGCAGUAGGGAAUCUUCGGCAAUGGGGGCAACCCUGACCGAGCAACGCCGCGUGAGUGAAGAAGGUUUUCGGAUCGUAAAGCUCUGUUGUAAGAGAAGAACGAGUGUGAGAGUGGAAAGUUCACACUGUGACGGUAACUUACCAGAAAGGGACGGCUAACUACGUG